AGUGAACGCUGGCGGUAGGCCUAACACAUGCCAGUCGAACGGCAGCACAGUAAGAGCUUGCUCUUACGGGUGGCGAGUGGCGGACGGGUGAGGAAUACAUCGGAAUCUACUUUUUCGUGGGGGAUAACGUAGGGAAACUUACGCUAAUACCGCAUACGACCUACGGGUGAAAGCAGGGGAUCUUCGGACCUUGCGCGAUUGAAUGAGCCGAUGUCGGAUUAGCUAGUUGGCGGGGUAAAGGCCCACCAAGGCGACGAUCCGUAGCUGGUCUGAGAGGAUGAUCGCCAAAAUGGAACCGGGACAAGGGUCAAGAUCCCAAGGGAGGCAGCAGUGGGGAAUAUUGGACAAUGGGCGCAAGCCUGAUCCAGCCAUACCGCGUGGGUGAAGAAGGCCUUCGGGUUGUAAAGCCCUUUUGUUGGGAAAGAAAAGCAGCAGGUUAAUACCCCGCUGUUCUGACGGUACCCAAAGAAUAAGCACCGGCUAACUUCGUG
Molecule: ribosomal RNA, 491 nt
Filed under: uncultured bacterium
Lineage: Bacteria
Description: partial 16S ribosomal RNA
Rfam family: Bacterial small subunit ribosomal RNA
Source: RNAcentral